UAAACAGGGAGACAAUUAGACAGGACAGACACGUGAAUACAAAUCGUGAACAAAAACACGGGAGAAGACAGGAGACAACUGCCAGAACAGACAAUUAAAUCCCUUUCCAAGAAACACUGGGCAGAAGGUAGCACUAAGCCUGGAUGUACAGAACUUGAAAAAACUCUCCAAAUUAAACUGAUCGAGAUGGAGAAAGAUGGCACACAAUGGCAAAUAAAACGUCCUCACAUCCCAAACUCGAAGUACAGUGAGCAGCUAGGGGCCGACUGAGAAGGCUUCAAAGAAAAAGGUUGACAAUAAAAAGGGAGGGGCUUCCAAAUACAAGCACCAGGAGGAGGGUCAUGACAGACUUUCAAAGACUAAGAUGCUACGUUGAAGUGGCCGGCAGCCAGCCGAAGCUCAUGGAGCUGAGAAGAGCAAAAAGAUAUUUUUUUUUUCUGUUCAGUUUUUUGUCUUGUUUUUGUUCUUGUACUAUUUGAUUGUUCUUGUAAAUACAUAAUGUACAGUACAUUUCUAUAUUUUGGACUUUUAUUUAUGGCGCU
Molecule: long non-coding RNA, 542 nt
Organism: Tachysurus fulvidraco (yellow catfish)
Lineage: Eukaryota; Metazoa; Chordata; Actinopteri; Siluriformes; Bagridae
Exons: 4
Source: RefSeq, a predicted model, not a curated record